ACUUAAAUUGAAGAGUUUGAUCAUGGCUCAGAUUGAACGCUGGCGGCAGGCCUAACACAUGCAAGUCGAGCGGUAGCACAGAGAGCUUGCUCUCGGGUGACGAGCGGCGGACGGGUGAGUAAUGUCUGGGAAACUGCCUGAUGGAGGGGGAUAACUACUGGAAACGGUAGCUAAUACCGCAUAACGUCGCAAGACCAAAGUGGGGGACCUUCGGGCCUCAUGCCAUCAGAUGUGCCCAGAUGGGAUUAGCUAGUAGGUGGGGUAA
RNAcentral lists this ribosomal RNA (265 nucleotides) under Klebsiella pneumoniae. RNAcentral describes it as "partial 16S ribosomal RNA". It matches the Rfam family "Bacterial small subunit ribosomal RNA", at positions 1 to 260 of the family's 1533-position model. The record is from RNAcentral. Lineage: Bacteria; Pseudomonadati; Pseudomonadota; Gammaproteobacteria; Enterobacterales; Enterobacteriaceae.